Molecule: long non-coding RNA, 3837 nt
Organism: Vigna angularis (adzuki bean)
Lineage: Eukaryota; Viridiplantae; Streptophyta; Magnoliopsida; Fabales; Fabaceae
Exons: 5
Source: RefSeq, a predicted model, not a curated record
AAUUUAUAAGUAUUAAUUUAUCUUCAGACACAAGAAGUCGCGUCUCGGGUACUUUCCAAAAUAUUUCGCACCCAAAUUCGCCUCUCCAAUGCUUUGUUUCCACCUUCAUCAGAGUUCCGAGUAUUCUUGACUUUCUUCACUGUGCCGUUUCCAUCUUCACCUUCGCGUCUCAACUUCUUCAUCUUCAGUCUUCGCGUCUCGACUUCUCCACCUUCAUAACGCUUUGUCACUUCGCAAUCCCUGGUUUCCUUGCCUUCUCCUCCUCCAAAUCCCUAAUUCCGAAAACCAAGCAUUUUUUAGGAGCUUGUGAUUCGCACAGCCUUCGUGUCUCGCCAUUUCCAUCUCUCAAUCUUCGUGUCUCUUCGUUUCCAUCUUCACAGCCUUCGCGUCUCGACUUCUCCAUCCUCACAGUCCUUUGUCACUUCUCAAUCCCUAAUUCCCUUGUCUUUCUCUGCUUCAAAUCCCUAAUUCCCUUGUCUUUCCCUGUUUCAAAUCCCUAAUUCCGAAAACCAAGAAUCAUUAGGAGGUCGCCGAUCUUGCGAUUGGUGUUUUUGAGGAGCUUGCGAGUUGUACAAGGUGGAAUCAGUCGUUUACCGGAGCCACUUCUUCUUCACGGCCUCCUCGACGGUAUUACUUCGGGUGUGUGUCGUUUGGGUGGUUUGGUGGUGUUUGCUUGGCCAUUGGAGUGAUGCAUAUGGUGUGUUUUAAGAUGUAAGCUUGUUAAGUUUUGUUAGAUAUUACUGACUUCAAAGAUGCAUAUGGUGGUUUGGUGGUGUUUGCUUGGCUCAUUACUUUGAAUCAAAGUUGUUGUUGUUAGAUAUUACUGACUUCUCUGUGAAGUUGCAGAAUAAAUUUAGAUGUUCCCGAAAGAUACCGUCUUUGAAAAGAUCAAUAUCGGAGGCAACCUUGAAGCGAGUGUCUCGUUUGUUUGGUUCCUUUUCUAUCCUUUCUUCACAAGGAGAAACAAGAGGAAUUGUGCGUCAACAAAGCAGUGCCGCUGAAAGUUUCAAUCCUCCAAUGCUUAAGAGGAAUGCUUCUACUGCAUCUGAUAUAAGUAGCACUGCUUCCCAGGGUGGUCCAACACUUCCAGGUUAUACUUUAGAAAUAUAGGUUGCCUUAUUAAUCAAUAAUGAAGAUGCUACUAAUCCAGCUAAAAGAUUAAUGUCACAUAUUACAGAAACUAGUUCCAUAAUUUUGUACAUAAGGAAUGUUGAGAAGCUCGUUCUUCAAUCAAGGUUAUAUUACAGUUAACUAUUUAUUUAUUUGAGUUUUAAAUAUUUUUAUUAAUAUAGAUAAAAUUCUUAAUUAGGCAUUUUUAUAAUAUUUUAUUUAUGCAAGUAAGAAUACUUAUGUUCAUUUUAAGUUUUAUUAUAUUCUAUUUUAUAUAUGUAAAAUUAAAUAGUUAUAUGUGUUUCGUGGAAACUAAUUAUACUUUGUUUUGUUAACUGAAAGCAGUAUAAAAUUGUUAUAUGUGUGUUAUGUUCUAUGUUUUGGUUGAUCAUUCAUAAAAGAGACUGUUAUGUGUCUUAGAAUGUGAUUGAUUAUAUUAUGUAUCUGUGAAUUGACUACAUGAGUCAAGAAAUAUACGUGGGAAGUUACUCUGCUUAAGUGUAGAAUUAAGACAUUUCAGAAAUUAUGAUAUGUGUAUGGUAGCCUUCAAUUGAUUAGGAAAUGGGUAUAAUGUCGUAAGCAACAUGGUAUGAAUGGAAUGCUAUCAUGUAUAAAUUAACUGCGUAAUCAGCUAUACUGUAAUUUUUAGGGGUAACAUUGAUAUUGUUUCAUACAACAUUUGGGUUAAAUAAGCAUGCAUAAGGUUGUGGGUUGAAAUAUAAUAAUGAGGUAUAGUGUGUAGUGAAAACUGGUUGCAUUGAUGACUUAAAAGCAUUAUAAUGUGACUGUAAGGGCAUGAAUUUACGCUGUUAAAAUAUAGAAUCUUGAUGUAUAUAGUGAAAAUUGAUUAAAUCAAGUUUAAUAGACAUAAAGUAGUUAUUAUCAAAUUAAACAUGCUUGGUUUACCUAAAUGAACUUGCUAUGUGUCUUAUUGGAGGAGUUGCAUGAUCAAAAUAAUAUUAGGUGUUGUAAUGGAAGGAAUCUAAGUAUUUGUAGCAUUUCCUAAUAACUUAGAGUUGUUGGUUGUAUUGAAAAAAAAAGGCUGCUAGUAUACAGAUUAAAGAUUAGAUUAUUGAUAUAUCAUGCAUUCUGGUAUUAUAUAAUUCAAUGAUGAUUAAAUUGUGAAAUGGACCGUAGAGUGACAUGUUAGUCUGAUGAAUGAUGUGUAUUAUGAAACUUAGUUGUGUAAAUGGUUGUCCGAGACCUGCAAGUGCUGGAAAUUUAAUUCUAUACGUGUUCAAUAAUGUGUUGGUUUUGGGUGAAGCUAGCUAAGAUUUCCAUGAUAUAAGUAUAUUUUGAUUGCUAAAUACUGUUGGUUUCUGUUUUUCAUAUAAAAAAUAAAAUCUUCAAAUAUACCUCUGGAGGUAUACUUGUUAAGCGAGACAAUUCAUUUGAAUAAAAAAUAUUAAUUAUUAAAUUUAACCAAGAAUAAUCAGAAUUAUAACAUUACACCAAAGAAAAAAAUCACCUAAACACUGAGACUGAAAUUGCAAUGAAUGAAAUUCACUGCCAAUGACCAUCUAUUGAUAGAUAACAGACGUAUCAAUGUUUUAACACGAAAAACUGCAAAUUCUGCUAUUGAUCAGUAAACUCUAAUGAUAAUACAUGGUAAAGGUUAAGAGCAUAAGGAAAUUUUCCCAUCACCAAUAAAAUUAUAACACUGUUCGUGCUUAUUAGCCUUUACUCUGAUAACAUCAAUCUAUAAUUUGUUGUGUCAAGGAAUUGUAGUUGUUUUUCUUCAAUCAUGCAGUAUCCUGGAACAACGUCCAUGCCUUCCGUCGAUCACAAAGUUCAUCUCUUCUAACUCACCAAUUACAACUGAUAAAUAAAAUUUUGGUAAACUAGUUUAAUCACUACAUAAUUUUGAACCUAAACAGCUGCACCGAAAUCAUCGUCCCUGCAAGAUGAGCAUUACCAUCACUUUGCCAUAUAUUCAAAACUAUUAACCACCUUAUAUUUCAAUAUUCCAAGCCAUGGCAGGGUAAAUAUAUGGACUCUCAAACGACCAACAGGGAAGUUAUUUAUCAUCAACUAAAGACAUUACAGGAAUUCCCUUGUUAGAAAAGCCUGAGCACACCACUCGCAUCUCAUCGCCUAUUGUAAAGUCCCUACUAUUAUUUUCCUGCACGAUAGAACAGUAACAGGUUAGCAAGUGAAUUGAAUGGCUCAUGGUGCAGACAAAAAGACAAUACAAAGAUGGAUUCCUACCUCAAACCGUUACAGAAGCCUUAUCUUUGCAGUCUUCUUAGCAUUAGUAUAUGGCAAGGGACCUGAAUGAGAAGUUGAAGAAUCGAUAACAUCUUGAGAUUUACGAGAUUUUGAUUUCGGUGCAGAAUGAAUUGCAUUUUGAGAUGGACGUGAUUUUGACUUGCGAUCCAAUUGGACCCCAUUAUCUACUUGAGGAACUUUGGAAGAUUUCUCCUCUUCAUCACACUCGGCAGCACUACGUAUUACAAUUACUGGUACUUGGGAGGUUGGGGAUUUUGCUUCACCCGACUCAAGAUCACCUAAAGACAACUCAGAAGCAGAAUUUUGUUGUUCUUGUACUCUAGACGCAUUCCCGUCUGUUUCUUUUGCGGACGUAACAGAUCCUUCAGUUACAUCAUUAGUCUCCAAUAUUCCAGGACGAGGAAAAGUUGCUUUAAGGGAUAAUUUGAUGUUACCAUAAACAUCUUGGCCUAUGCACAUCAAAGAAAGCUUCUGGCCAACAGACACAACCUCUGAAAC